AGUUCAAAAGAUAGAAGAAGAAGCACAAGGAAAAUCAACAAAAUUAAGAAGCGAAAUGAUAUUGUUAAGUAAAUAGAACAAUUGGAAUACCGAACGACUUUUCGAAAACUAUGAUGAUUGGGUUAAACCGAUCAUAAUUUGAAUGUUUGGAAACUAAGUUAUGGUUAUUCGGAAACUGAUGGACUUGAUCGGGUCGAAGACAUAUGAUAGGAUCAUUUCUACCUUGGUAGACUACUGGGUAAAUGCGAUCAACUGAUGGGUUAUUGUUUUUGUCUAUGAGUUUUUGAACUUUAAAAAUUAUCCUAUUUCCUUGUAAUGGAUGCCUACUAUUCUCACGAGCAGCGUAUUUGAUAGGUUCCUGAGGUUUAAUUGAAAAUUGAACGUGCAAUCAGCUGAAUGUCGAGUAAUAAAGAGGAAAUGGAAGAUCUUUUGUCGCCAAGCAAUAUCGUGAUCCAAACUGAUGAUGUAGACGAAAUCUCAGUAGUAUCGACAGAAUCGACUUCUUCUUCAUCAUCUGUGAUGAAGAAGGUGUCUGUACCUCCAUUAAUACAAGUCCCUUCAACUUCCAAACAAGCGUCCAUAAAAAGCUUUACAAAUGAAAAUAUAAUAUAGUAGAAAAACGGUUUCAAAAAAUGUGUACAAGUUUUAAAUGGAAGCUAUACAUUACCCAGCAGAAACACAUUUUCACAAAAGUUAAUUCCUAAUUUGUACAAUGAAACGCGCCGAGUUAUUGAAGCCAUUUUAAAACAAGCCAAAUUUAUACCUUGUACCACCGAUUGCUGGACUUCCAUUGCAAACAGGUCCUAUAUCUCCCUUACAUGCCAUUUUGUAGACGAAAAUAUCAGUUAGUAAGCGUUUGUUUGGGCUGUUAUGAAAUGGAUGAAGAUCAUACUGCUGAAAACUUAUGUAAUCAUAUAAAUCUUAUUUUAAACGAGUGGAGUAUUUAAGAAAAAGCAAAUACAUCGUUUACCACAGAUUACGGAAGUAAUGUAUCAAAAGCUAUUAAGGAUAUGGGAAUAGCCCAUUUAUGUUGUUUGGACAUGCAAUUAAUAUUGCAGUAAAUAAAUGUUUUGAAAAUGCAAAAGUAAGCGAAACUAUAAGUAAAAUUAAAAAAAUUCAGAAUAUUUUUGCACAUAGUUGGAAAGCUGUUAGAGAUUUAAAAAUAAUUUAGAUAAAAUACAACACCAAGGAAACAAAAAUUCCUUCCUUUUCUGAAACGCGAUGGUGGUCUCUUUUAAAUUUAAUCAAGAUAAUUGUUCAACAAGAAGUAAAUCUCUUAUAUUUUCUUACAUACCUAUAAUAAUGGACGUUACAAAAAGCUGAUACUAAACGCUGACGAUUUGAAACUCCUGAAUGUUAUCCCGGAAUUACUAACUCCAAUUCAAAACAUUUCAGAAACUCUGUCUGGAGAAACACACUUAAAAUCAGAUAUGAAAGCAACGAGAAAACUCAUAAACUAUUGCAGACUGCCACCUUCAUGGACCCACGUUUUAAAGGAUCCUUUUUUAUUUCUGCAGAAAACCAGAUAAUUGGAGAUAUAAUAUUACAACUUAGUAGCGAAUUAGAAAUAAUUCCAGUUUCUGAGAAUAGAGCUGCGACAUCAGGAAAAAAGAAAAGCGGACUUUCAUGAAUUUUUAAAUCUAUGAAAACUGUUGAAGGUAGUAAUGCUGUGGGUUUAAAUAUAAAAAUUAAAAAUGAAAUUGAACAAUAUAUGAAUAUACUAGUCAUUGAUGUUAAAGAAGAUCCACUGAUAUGGUGGAAAUAUAACGCACAUGUAUUUCCUUUUCUUCCCAAUGUACAAAAAGUUUCUCUGUAUUCAAGAUUCCAGUGUUCCAUCUACGCGAGUAUUUAGCAAAGGAAGCCAACUAGUAACUGAGCUAACGUCAGUGUCUUCCUAACGACCCUAUUGUUAUGGGUAUCCCAUGAGUUAUCAUCCCCCUAACGCUGGGGAUGAUAUCAAUGUUUUAAAACGGCAUGGUGGAUGGAAGAGUUCAUCAGUGGCUGAAAAAUAUUUGGAAAAAUUCUUCAAGAGUAAGAAGAAAAUAGCAAGAAUGAUACAAGGGGGUGAAAUUUUUUUUAAGCCAAAACCUCACAUCUUCCAGCAUUAUUGAAAAUAAAGAAGUACAUCCAGUAAUUCCUACAAUAAAUGUUUCUGGUAACAGUAGCUGCAACAUUACUGUCAACAUUCAAAAAUUGAAAUAAAAGUUUAGUUAUUGAUGUCAA
Diorhabda carinulata is the source of this 2223-nucleotide long non-coding RNA. RefSeq lists it as uncharacterized. The record is from RefSeq and is a predicted model, not a curated record. Lineage: Eukaryota; Metazoa; Arthropoda; Insecta; Coleoptera; Chrysomelidae. The transcript is spliced from 2 exons.